CUGGAAUUCCCCUGCGCGCAGCUCGUCGAGUUCUCCCUCCAGCCGCGCUCCGGCUCCCUUCCGCUCGGCGCCCAGCCCCUGUUCCCAUGGCGCUCGACCACCCUCCCUGUUCGCCCAGCCGCUCGUCUCUGGUGCCCAGAUGUGGUCCGUCUCCUCCAGCAGAGCUUCCUGCGCGUGCAGUCACUCUCCUCCCCCAAGCGCCCUCGCUUCCUCCCUCUGUCUGCUCGCCAGGCGCCCAAUCCAUGGCCGAUUGUUCCUGCUCGCUGCUCUCCAGCCGAGCUCCCCUGUUGGCCGGUGCCUAGCCGUUCUUCCUCCCAUGGCUGCUGCGUGCGCUCGGCUGCAGACCGCCGGUCGAGCUCCCUGACCGCGCGUGUCUCCUUGAGCAUGCGUCGCCGUCGAGUUCUCUGGUGUUUGCGCACCAUGAGGUUCCUCCAGCGUCGUGGUCUGCAGUGUUCCAGCUCUCUGGUGCAUGCGUUGAGCUUCCUGCCGUCGCUCAGCUCGCCGGUGUGCGUCCUGCUCCUUACGCGCCCAGCACCGUGCGCCGUGAAGUCCCUGCGCGCAAGCUAUCUGUUGGCCGCGCCUGAAGCUCUCUGUUCGUCGUCAUCGCUCGGUCGUGCGACAGGCUGA
This 627-nucleotide unclassified non-coding RNA is filed under the name Zea mays. RNAcentral's name for it is "misc RNA Zm00001eb145250". Lineage: Eukaryota; Viridiplantae; Streptophyta; Magnoliopsida; Poales; Poaceae. The record is from RNAcentral.